This is a long non-coding RNA of Mauremys mutica (yellowpond turtle), 445 nucleotides long. RefSeq lists it as uncharacterized. The record is from RefSeq and is a predicted model, not a curated record. NCBI's taxonomy places the organism in Eukaryota, Metazoa, Chordata, Testudines, Geoemydidae. The transcript has 3 exons.
AUGGGCAAUAGGAGCCAUCUUAGAAUGGCUGCCAAGACUCUUAACUUGUGAACAAAGGAAAUAAACUGCCCACCGAGGACAUAUAUGUCUCAGAACGACAGGAAGGCCCAUUCCCAGCUGCUUUGCCUCACAAUCUGGAUUGCCCAGCUUCCUGGACUUCAGCAGAGUAUAACUCCUGACCGACAGUGGUGUGAAUGGGAUCAGGACGAGUCUACCAGAUAAAAGAGAGCUGUACAGCAAAGGGGCCAGCCCAAAUGAUGACAUUGCUGAGGUUCAAUUUAGAGCUCCUACAAUAUACCAACGCUAGAGAGCAAAGUCCACCACUUGUCCACAGCCCGCUUCCAGCAAUGGUGGAGGUGUGCUAUGAAGGGUUAACCUUCCCAAGGCGGUUUAAAGCUACCCCACAACCUGCAAGAUGCUAUGCAGGGCCACACUUUCUCCCAGA